CCUACGGGAGGCAGCAGUGAGGAAUAUUGGUCAAUGGGCGCGAGCCUGAACCAGCCAAGUCGCGUGAGGGAGGACGGCCCUACGGGUUGUAAACCUCUUUUGCCGGGGAGCAACGGGCGCCACGUGUGGCGCCACUGAGAGUACCCGGAGAAAAAGCAUCGGCUAACUCCGGGCCAGCAGCCGCGGUAAUACGGAGGAUGCGAGCGUUAUCCGGAUUUAUUGGGGUUAAAGGGUUCGUAGGCGGAUCGUUAAGUCAGUGGUCAAAUUGAGGGGCUCAACCCCUUCCCGCCAUUGAAACUGGCGUUCUUGAGUGGAAGAGAGGUAUGCGGAAUGCGUGGUGUAGCGGUGAAAUGCAUAGAUAUCACGCAGAACCCCGAUUGCGAAGGCAGCAUGCCGGCUUCCGACUGACGCUGAAGCACGAAAGCGUGGGGAUCGAACAGGAUUAGAUACCCGUGUAGUC
This 460-nucleotide ribosomal RNA is filed under the name uncultured bacterium. RNAcentral describes it as "partial 16S ribosomal RNA". It matches the Rfam family "Bacterial small subunit ribosomal RNA", at positions 338 to 795 of the family's 1533-position model. The record is from RNAcentral.